UUAAAUUGAAGAGUUUGAUCAUGGCUCAGAUUGAACGCUGGCGGCAGGCCUAACACAUGCAAGUCGAACGGUAACAGGAAGCAGCUUGCUGCUUUGCUGACGAGUGGCGGACGGGUGAGUAAUGUCUGGGAAACUGCCUGAUGGAGGGGGAUAACUACUGGAAACGGUAGCUAAUACCGCAUAACGUCGCAAGACCAAAGAGGGGGA
This 207-nucleotide ribosomal RNA is filed under the name Escherichia coli. Its description in RNAcentral is "partial 16S ribosomal RNA". It matches the Rfam family "Bacterial small subunit ribosomal RNA", at positions 1 to 213 of the family's 1533-position model. Lineage: Bacteria; Pseudomonadati; Pseudomonadota; Gammaproteobacteria; Enterobacterales; Enterobacteriaceae. The record is from RNAcentral.